AUGUUGCUGUUCUUGUUCUUCUCGGUGACCCAAACAGAAGACUCAGUGACCCAAAGAGAAGACUCAGUGACCCAAAUGGAAGGCCGUGUUACUCUCACCGAGGGAGACCCUCUGAUACUGAACUGCACUUACCAGACGAUUUAUCCAGGUCCUGUCCUUUUCUGGUAUGUCCAGUAUGUUGACAGAGGCCCUCGGCUCCUCCUGAAGAGUGCAACAGAAAACCAGCGGGCAGAGAAUCAAGGGUUUGAGGCCACGCUUGUCAAGAGCCCCAGCUCCUUCCACCUGCAGAAACCCUCACUUCAGCUGGCGGAUUCUGCCCUGUACUAUUGUGCCCUGGGGACACAGUGA
Fukomys damarensis (Damara mole-rat) is the source of this 348-nucleotide non-coding RNA. The record is from the annotation of a RefSeq genome assembly. Lineage: Eukaryota; Metazoa; Chordata; Mammalia; Rodentia; Bathyergidae.